GCCGGCUUAGCUCAGUUGGUAGAGCAGCAGUUUUGUAAACUGCAGGUCGCCGGUUCGAGUCCGGCCGCCGGCU
This 73-nucleotide transfer RNA is filed under the name Pseudomonadota bacterium. RNAcentral's name for it is "tRNA-Thr". It matches the Rfam family "tRNA". Rfam says of the family: Transfer RNA (tRNA) molecules are approximately 80 nucleotides in length. Their secondary structure includes four short double-helical elements and three loops (D, anti-codon, and T loops). The record is from RNAcentral. RNAcentral also lists the same sequence under 1 other name. Lineage: Bacteria; Pseudomonadati; Pseudomonadota.